Small nucleolar RNA from Manacus vitellinus (golden-collared manakin), 206 nucleotides. Its record names the gene SNORA73. It matches the Rfam family "Small nucleolar RNA SNORA73 family". Rfam says of the family: U17 (SNORA73A and SNORA73B) also known as E1 belongs to the H/ACA class of small nucleolar RNAs (snoRNAs). Vertebrate U17 is intron-encoded and ranges in length from 200-230 nucleotides, longer than most snoRNAs. It is one of the most abundant snoRNAs in human cells and is essential for the cleavage of pre-rRNA within the 5' external transcribed spacer (ETS). The record is from Ensembl. Lineage: Eukaryota; Metazoa; Chordata; Aves; Passeriformes; Pipridae.
CCAACGUGGAUAUCCGGAGAAGUCGCUCUCUCUCGGCUCUGUCCGUGUGGCGCACGGGAGCGCAGGCCCUCGGGCCCGUGACGUACAGUCCCCUUCCACGACGUUGGAGAUCAAGCCGGGCCGCCGAGCCUGCAGCCUGCAUAUUCCUACUGCUUCUCUGAGCCCCCGGGCCGUUACAGAGGAGACAAACCAUGCAGGAAACAAUU